GGCUACACACGUGCUACAAUGGACGGUACAAAGAGCUGCAAGACCGCGAGGUGGAGCUAAUCUCAUAAAACCGUUCUCAGUUCGGAUUGUAGGCUGCAACUCGCCUACAUGAAGCUGGAAUCGCUAGUAAUCGCGGAUCAGCAUGCCGCGGUGAAUACGUUCCCGGGCCUUGUACACACCGCCCGUCACACCACGAGAGUUUGUAACACCCGAAGUCGGUGGGGUAACCUUUUGGAGCCAGCCGCCUAAGGUGGGACAGAUGAUUGGGGUGAAGUCGUAACAAGGUAGCCGUAUCGGAAGGUGCGGUUGGAUCACCU
Molecule: ribosomal RNA, 317 nt
Filed under: Bacillus anthracis (anthrax bacterium)
Lineage: Bacteria; Bacillati; Bacillota; Bacilli; Caryophanales; Bacillaceae
Description: bacterial SSU rRNA
Rfam family: Bacterial small subunit ribosomal RNA
Source: RNAcentral